This 460-nucleotide ribosomal RNA is filed under the name uncultured bacterium. RNAcentral's name for it is "partial 16S ribosomal RNA". It matches the Rfam family "Bacterial small subunit ribosomal RNA", at positions 338 to 795 of the family's 1533-position model. The record is from RNAcentral.
CCUACGGGUGGCAGCAGUGAGGAAUAUUGGUCAAUGGGCGGGAGCCUGAACCAGCCAAGUCGCGUGAGGGACGACGGUCCUAUGGAUUGUAAACCUCUUUUGUCGGGGAACAAAGGCGCCCACGGGUGGGGGGAUGAGUGUACCCGAAGAAAAAGCAUCGGCUAACUCCGUGCCAGCAGCCGCGGUAAUACGGAGGAUGCGAGCGUUAUCCGGAUUUAUUGGGGUUAAAGGGAGCGUAGAUGGGUUGUUAAGUCAGUUGUGAAAGUUUGCGGCUCAACCGUAAAAUUGCAAUUGAUACUGGCAGUCUUGAGUGCAGUUGAGGUAGGCGGAAUGCGUGGUGUAGCGGUGAAAUGCUUAGAUAUCACGAAGAACCCCGAUUGCGAAGGCAGCUUACUAAACUGUGACUGACAUUGAUGCUCGAAAGUGUGGGUAUCAAACAGGAUUAGAUACCCCAGUAGUC